GACUGGCCGGGCGCGAGACGCUGCGGCAGAUGGGAGGCCUGUCCCCCGUUCCCCUGGCCGAGCAUCUGGCCAUCCGCCCGCCCUCCCUUCCUCCUCCUGCCCUUCUCCGGUGUCGCAGCAGGCAGCCGGAGUCAAGUUCCUCUUUUGUUCAGUAGCCCCCAGGGAAGAAAACCAACCCUGGCGACUGCGGAUGGCCUGGCGAUCUCCCCGGACCGCGCUUCUCGGGUCCAGCCGCCGCACCUGCGCCCGGGCCCGCCCUCGCGCGCACGCGCCGAGCUCCAGGGCUGCUCCUGCGCCCGCCCUUUCUCCCAAGGCCCGACAGGGGGCGCUCCUUGCUCCGCCCUCCCGGGCCCAUUUCCCCAUCUAAAAUGGGAGUCGCCCGCCUGCUCUGAAUCCCAGCCGCCCUGCUGCCCUAUUUCAGGUUUCGUGAAAAUCCCACCAUUGGGACGAUUGGGGCUCGUAGAGAUCCGGAGACUCCAACACCUCCGCGCUUGCUGGAAAGCCCUACUCUCGUUUUUAUCGUCCAGGGCCCCCUUUGUGCGACAGGGUCUCUGUUGCCCAGGCUGGCCCCGAACUCCUGGGCUUAAACAGUCCUCCAGACGGCCUCCUCGGGGUGGCAUGUCACCUUGCUCACCUUUGUGUGUGUGUGUGUGUGGGGGGGGGGUACUGGGGAUUGAACCCGGGGCACUUUAAACUGAGCCACAUCUCUAGCUUUUUUGUUGUGAGACAGGGUCUGCCUGCAGCUCCCAAGUCUCUGGAAGAGUCACUAUUUUAUAAAUUCACUCAACAUACUUAUUGAGCACCUACUGUGUACCAGACCCUUUGUUUAAUGCCCUGCUGUCAAAACCUUAAAAUUCUUAAUACCUGUGACCAAGGAGCCCUACAUUUUCAUUUUGCACUGGGCCCCAAAAAAUCUAGUCAGGGGGCUGGGGUGUGAUUCAGUGGUAGAGAACUUGCCUGGCACGUGCAAGGUCCUGGGUGCCGCAGCACCGCAAAACCACUUACAGCUGGUCCCUCUAGGGAUACAACAGGGGUCAAGAUGGACAAACAUCUUUGUAACAGGCGAGAUGACAUUUGAGGGAGACAGCAAGAGUAGACAAUAGUUUUCAAAUGAUACUUUGUAUUUUCGGUGGUGAUAGGAGCCACGCGGGUGUAGAAAGCCGCUGGGCAGGAGUCUCCGUGCGCAGACGGGAGUGGAUGGAUCUGCGGGGCAGGUGCUCCCUCAAGGGGAACUACCAGGCAAAGGCAGGAGGGGGCGCCAGCGGUUUGAGGACCAGAAAGGAGACGGCAGGGGCGGGCUGGCUUGGUCCGGGCAUGCGCUCAGGGAGGCAGGGGCAGAGGAUGCUAGGAGCUCAGGGGGGCAAACCCUCCCUACAGCGGGCAGGCAGUGUUUUUGGCUUCCGGGCCAGCGGCCGCCACUGUGCGGUUGCAUCUUGAAAGCAGCCUGUGCCUGUGGUAAAUGGAUGGGGCUGGCUCGUCCCCAGAAAGCUUUAUUGAUGGAUGCUGAGCUGUGAAUUCAUCACGUUCGCCGCAAACGAUGUAUUAUUAUUAUUCUGACUUCCCUCGCAGCCACUUGCAAGUGUAAAACCAUUCUCAGCCUCGCUGUUGGGGGCUGUAUAUAAAUGGGGCAGGCAGGGGAGGGCUGCUGCCCGCACUUCGUGCUGAGUGGGGUCCCCAGAGGCUUUGCACAGGGGAAAGAGGAGCUAGGCGGGUCAGGAAGUGGCUGCUGGCUGCAGCGGGUGGCGAGGGAGGAAAAGGGUCAAGGGCGGGUGUGCAGACCAGGAGGACGUGCGGUGCCUGCAGUUUGGGGUUGACAGGGCCGUGGCCACCAAAGGGCCACUCCAUGUAGUGCAGCCGGUGGGGGUGGCUGGUGGCUUGGAUAUGGGUGAUGACCAAGGUGAUGCUGGGACUGGCUUGAGCCCUGGGGACAGGGCUGUGCCCGGCACACUGCAGUGGGCUCUGAGAGGCAGUCUGGUCUGAGCUUACCCGCACCUAGGAAGACAGGUGGGGAGGAUGGAGGAAACGCGAGCUUGGGCUGGGAGAUCCAUUUCAGUCUCCUCCUGGACGUGCCUGGGGUCACCCCCACCUCCCAGGGUGAGAGGAGGGGGAGCCUCAGCUCCUCCCAGCUGCUUCUCACCAGCUGCUGCACCCGACAGCCUACCCUUGCCUCCGUCUGUGCAAAGGCAGCUAAGGAAUCCUCAGGCCGCCCACCUAAGCCUGGGGUCUCAAUGGGGGAAGGGGACAGUUCUGCCUCUCCCCCAUCAGGGACUGGCAGCAAUGUCCAUGGCUGUCCUGACUGGAGAAGCCCCUGGCAUGGAGCAGGUAGUGGCACUCCGCAGCCCUCAGGAUGCCCACCCCAGAGAACCAUCUGGCCCCAGAGUCCAGUGCCGAGGGAGAGACCUGGCUCUAUGGUGUCUGCUCCGUUAUCUACUCCAUUUAGCAAUUGAGAACUUGAGGCCCAGAGAGGGGAAGUGACUGGCCCAAGAUCACACAGCUGGUAUAACAAGCUGACCCCCACCCGCCCGCCGCCUCUGCGGGGCCCCUGCUCCACAGGCUCUGGAAGGCCUCGCCUGGACUCUUCCUCUGUCCCCUGUGGGCCCAGCCUCUCCCGAUGCCUUCUUUUUGUGAAUUUGCAGUUGCAUCACCGGGUCAGAAGCCGCAGCACCCCACACUCCUCCUCCUCCGCCCCAGAUGCCGCUGCUUUGCCAGCACCUCCUCUCCCAAGCACUGGGGCUCCCUGCUCAGUUCUGGCCACUCUUGCCCUGGGGUCAUCUUCUCACCAGCCCCGGACUCUUCCCCAAGCCACAUGUCAGUCGCCACUGGGCAUGUUCCCUGGACGCCCACCGGGCCCUUUGACACUGGAUGGGUUUGAACUUCCCGCGUGGAAGAUGGUCCUUUUCCAGGACACAACUUGGUGAUGAACAUGUCCCCCAAAGACCAGAUCACCCAUCCCAACCUCUGCUUCUCUGGCCCCACAGCGACUGAUUUCUGUCCAGUCUCCCACUUUCUUCCAUGUGACCUGGGUUGCCCCCCUCCCCACCCAUCCUUCACCUGGGGCUUCUGAAAUGUCAGCCCCGAGUGCGGAGCCACUCGAGGAAUUGCACGCACUGUCUGUGGAGUGUCCAGGCCUGACUAGCGCAUCUGGCAUCCAGCAGACACUCAAUAAAUGCUUCUGGCUGAAGGACCCUCUUCCCAAAAGGGUACUCUGGUGCAUGUUUUUUGAGCUGUGUGCUAGAUGCUGUUCCAGGCACAGGGACACAACACUAACCAAGUGACCAAGACACACCCAAAGUGCUUCCCCCCCCUUGUGGAGCUAACAGGGUGAGGCAGGGUGAGAGGGUUGGGAAACAGGUGUCUGGAGAGGUGUAGCCAUGCAGAGACAGCAGGCGAUGUGAGGGGUGCUUGGGAGGUGAUGUUUGAGGCUGAAACAUCAGGAGGAGCCAGCUGGGUGGGUGUCUGGGGAGUGUGCUGAGGGUGCAGCCCUGCAAAGGCCCUGGGGCAGCCCAGCCUGUUGUGCUGGAGGGUCCGAGAGGAGUCUUGUGGCUGGAGCAGAGGGAAGAGGGGGAGAGGAAGGAGGCAGGGAGGGCACAGGGCAGAUGGCGCAGGGCCCUCUGGGCCACAGAGAGGACUUAACUCUGAGGGAGAUGGGAGCCAUGGAGGGCUGUGGGCAGAGGAGAAGGGCCUGGCUCUGGUGCUCAGAGCUACUUUCUGGAGCUUCUAGGAGGAGACGGAGGGUGGGGAGGGUGCAGCAGAGCGACUGCACUGUGCAGGUGGCCACCACCAUUCCUUCAAGUUCCCUUGCAGGAAGCCCUCCCUGACUCCAGCCACAUAGGGCAGCCUCACAAGCUCCCCACUCAGUUCCGGUCAUGGCCCCAAGCACAUGGUUCAUGAGUCUAUGGGUACAUGCCUGUCUCUCCAGGGACCCCGUGACAGCAGGGACUGUCUCAGUCACCACUGGAUCUGCCCGGCUGAGGGCAGGCAGAGGAGACAGACCUCCCCGCACCUUGGGGCCAGAGCCAAGGGCGUGUCCUGUGUCUUUCAGUGGAUUUAGCUGAGCAUCUACUGUGUCGCGCCCUCCAGUGUCCCCAGGAGCUAGCCGUAGAGCUACAUCUGUAUUGGAUGAGUGAACCGAGGUUUUUCCUUGUGCUCACUGAAUGCCAGGCACUGCGUGGUGCGGUGCUUCGCAUACAGUGUCUGGCGAGUGCUCCUGGUGACCACCUGCCGUGGUGACUGCUUAUCCAGAAGCCCGUUCCGCAGUUGAGGAAAGGGAAGGGGACAGCCGGUAAGUAGCUCAGCCCAGCCAGCCAGGUGGCCCAGGCGG
RNAcentral lists this long non-coding RNA (4321 nucleotides) under Marmota monax (woodchuck). The record is from RNAcentral. Lineage: Eukaryota; Metazoa; Chordata; Mammalia; Rodentia; Sciuridae.